AAUAGAUACCCAGGUAGUCCACGCCGUAAACGAUGAGUGCUAAGUGUUAGAGGGUUUCCGCCCUUUAGUGCUGCAGCUAACGCAUUAAGCACUCCGCCUGGGGAGUACGGCCGCAAGGCUGAAACUCAAAGGAAUUGACGGGGGGCCCGCACAAGCGGUGGAGCAUGUGGUUUAAUUCGAAGCAACGCGAAGAACCUUACCAGGUCUUGACAUCCUCUGACCUCCCUGGAGACAGGGCCUUCCCCCUUCGGGGGACAGAGUGACAGGUGGUGCAUGGUUGUCGUCAGCUCGAGUCGUGAGAUGUUGGGUUAAGUCCCGCAACGAGCGCAACCCUUGACCUUAGUUGCCAGCAUUGAGUUGGGCACUCUAAGGUGACUGCCGGUGACAAACCGGAGGAAGGUGGGGAUGACGUUAAAUCAUCAUGCCCCUUAUGACCUGGGCUACACACGUGCUACAAUGGAUGGUACAAAGGGCUGCGAGCCGCGAGGUUAAGCCAAUCCCAGAAAACCAUUCCCAGUUCGGAUUGCAGGCUGCAACCCCG
RNAcentral lists this ribosomal RNA (541 nucleotides) under uncultured bacterium. RNAcentral's name for it is "bacterial SSU rRNA". It matches the Rfam family "Bacterial small subunit ribosomal RNA", at positions 777 to 1314 of the family's 1533-position model. The record is from RNAcentral.